RNAcentral lists this ribosomal RNA (429 nucleotides) under Bacteroidota bacterium. RNAcentral describes it as "Bacteroidetes bacterium partial 16S ribosomal RNA". It matches the Rfam family "Bacterial small subunit ribosomal RNA", at positions 355 to 776 of the family's 1533-position model. Lineage: Bacteria; Pseudomonadati; Bacteroidota. The record is from RNAcentral.
UAGGGAAUCUUCCGCAAUGGACGCAAGUCUGACGGAGCAACGCCGCGUGAGUGAAGAAGGAUUUCGGUUCGUAAAACUCUGUUGUUAGAGAAGAACAGCGCAUAGAGUAACUGUUAUGCGUGUGACGGUAUCUAACCAGAAAGCCACGGCUAACUACGUGCCAGCAGCCGCGGUAAUACGUAGGUGGCAAGCGUUGUCCGGAUUUAUUGGGCGUAAAGCGAGCGCAGGCGGUCAAUUAAGUCUGAUGUGAAAGCCCCCGGCGCAACCGGGGAGGGUCAUUGGAACCUGGUUGACUUGAGUGCAGAAGAGGAGAGUGGAAGUCCAUGUGUAGCGGUGAAAUGCGUAGAUAUAUGGAGGAACACCAGUGGCGAAGGCGACUCUCGGGUAUGUAACUGACACUGAGGCUCGAAAGAGUGGGUAGCAAACAGG